RNAcentral lists this non-coding RNA (81 nucleotides) under unclassified sequences. The record is from RNAcentral.
UAGAGACUGCCACCGGGUAGUUAAAAGAGGACGAUCAUUCCAGUAGGUCUUAGAAGGAAUGGUCUUCCUCUUUUUGUUUUC